UACAGAGGGUGCAAACGUUGCUCGGAAUUACUGGGCGUAAAGCGCGUGUAGGCGGACUGGUGUGUCGGAUGUGAAAUCCCCAGGCUCAACCUGGGAACUGCAUUCGAAACUGCCAGCCUUGAGUGGUGGAGAGGGAAGUGGAAUUCCUGGUGUAGAGGUGAAAUUCGUAGAUAUCAGGAGGAACACCAGUGGCGAAGGCGGAUCUCUGGGCCGUAACUGACGCUGAGGAGCGAAAGCAUGGGGAGCGAACAGG
RNAcentral lists this ribosomal RNA (253 nucleotides) under uncultured bacterium. Its description in RNAcentral is "partial 16S ribosomal RNA". It matches the Rfam family "Bacterial small subunit ribosomal RNA", at positions 524 to 776 of the family's 1533-position model. The record is from RNAcentral.